This is a long non-coding RNA of Portunus trituberculatus (swimming crab), 446 nucleotides long. RefSeq lists it as uncharacterized. The transcript is spliced from 2 exons. The record is from RefSeq and is a predicted model, not a curated record. NCBI's taxonomy places the organism in Eukaryota, Metazoa, Arthropoda, Malacostraca, Decapoda, Portunidae.
UGAGGAGCAAUAGUGCGGAGGUGUCUGCCGUGUCAGACAUUCUCCGCACUGAGGAGUGCCAGAAACAUUGGCAUAUUAUAAAAUCUGAGGCAAGACGGAACACCCGCAAGCAGAGAGAAGCCAUGACUGCCACAGAUGGUGGACCUCCUGCCAACCCUCCUCUCUCCCAGCACAAUGAGUUAAUCUUUGAGAUUUUGGACCCUAAGAAUGUCUCUAUUCAUGGGUGUACCAAUAAGGCAAGCAUCAUUGAAUGCACCUUCCUUAACAAAGGAUAAGCCACUUGUAGAUAUAGCAAUAUUAGGCCAUAAUGUUGUCUCAAAUGUCUGCAAUCCAAAAUACUCGUUCCCAUUUAGUUUACAACUUAGAGUUAAACACAAUGGUAAAUUUGUUAUCUAGUGUUGAGAAAAUUUUUUUUUUCUUUAACCAAACAGCUAAAACAGUAAUAA